Molecule: ribosomal RNA, 497 nt
Filed under: uncultured bacterium
Lineage: Bacteria
Description: partial 16S ribosomal RNA
Rfam family: Bacterial small subunit ribosomal RNA
Source: RNAcentral
GACGAACGCUGGCGGCGUGCCUAAUACAUGCCAGUUGAGCGAUGAAGAUUGGUGCUUGCACCAAUUUGAAGAGCAGCGAACGGGUGAGUAACGCGUGGGGAAUCUGCCUUUGAGCGGGGGACAACAUUUGGAAACGAAUGCUAAUACCGCAUAACAACUUUAAACAUAAGUUUUAAGUUUGAAAGAUGCAAUUGCAUCACUCAAAGAUGAUCCCGCGUUGUAUUAGCUAGUUGGUGAGGUAAAGGCUCACCAAGGCGAUGAUACAUAGCCGACCUGAGAGGGUGAGCGGCCACAUUGGGACUGAGACACGGCCCAAACUCCUACGGGAGGCAGCAGGAGGGAAUCUUCGGCAACGGACGAAAGUCUGACCGAGCAACGCCGCGUGAGUGAAGAAGGGUUUCGGAUCGUAAAACUCUGUUGGUAGAGAAGAACGUUGGUGAGAGUGGAAAGCUCAUCAAGUGACGGUAACUACCCAGAAAGGGACGGCUAACUACGUG